UCCGACCGGGAGGAAGGAGUGCUUUUAUUAGAUCAAAACCAAUCGGUGCGUCGGUUCGCUCGUCAUCGUACAACUUGGUGACUCUGAAUAACUUUAUGCUGAUCGCACGGUCUCGCACCGGCGACGCAUCUUUCAAAUGUCUGCCUUAUCAACUGUCGAUGGUAGGUUCUGCGCCUACCAUGGUUGUAACGGGUAACGGGGAAUCAGGGUUCGAUUCCGGAGAGGGAGCCUGAGAAACGGCUACCACAUCCAAGGAAGGCAGCAGGCGCGCAAAUUACCCACUCCCGGCACGGGGAGGUAGUGACGAAAAAUAACGAUACGGGACUCAUCCGAGGCCCCGUAAUCGGAAUGAGUACACUCUAAACCCUUUAACGAGGAUCAAUUGGAGGGCAAGUCUGGUGCCAGCAGCCGCGGUAAUUCCAGCUCCAAUAGCGUAUAUUAAAGUUGUUGCGGUUAAAAAGCUCGUAGUCGAAUCUGUGUCUUGCGCCGCCGGUUCAUCGUUCGCGGUGUUAACUGGCGUGUCGCAGGACGUCCUGCCGGUGGGCUUAGCUCGCAAGGGCGGCCCAACUCAAUCCUGCCGCGGUGCUCUUCACUGAGUGUCGAGGUGGGCCGGCACGUUUACUUUGAACAAAUUAGAGUGCUUAAAGCAGGCUAAAACUUCGCCUGAAUACUGUGUGCAUGGAAUAAUGGAAUAGGACCUCGGUUCUAUUUUGUUGGUUUUCGGAACCCCGAGGUAAUGAUUAAUAGGAACGGAUGGGGGCAUUCGUAUUGCGACGUUAGAGGUGAAAUUCUUGGAUCGUCGCAAGACGGACAGAAGCGAAAGCAUUUGCCAAAAACGCUUUCAUUGAUCAAGAACGAAAGUUAGAGGUUCGAAGGCGAUCAGAUACCGCCCUAGUUCUAACCAUAAACGAUGCCAGCUAGCGAUCCGUCGACGUUCCUCCGAUGACUCGACGGGCAGCUUCCGGGAAACCAAAGCUUUUGGGUUCCGGGGGAAGUAUGGUUGCAAAGCUGAAACUUAAAGGAAUUGACGGAAGGGCACCACCAGGAGUGGAGCCUGCGGCUUAAUUUGACUCAACACGGGAAACCUCACCAGGCCCGGACACCGGAAGGAUUGACAGAUUGAGAGCUCUUUCUUGAUUCGGUGGGUGGUGGUGCAUGGCCGUUCUUAGUUGGUGGAGCGAUUUGUCUGGUUAAUUCCGAUAACGAACGAGACUCUAGCCUGCUAACUAGGCGUAUUUUGACAUCGCAAAGGCCCGCCGGUAUCGGGGUUCGCUCCUUUAUCGUGCGCGGUUUUUACUGUCGGCGUACAAACAAUUCUUCUUAGAGGGACAGGCGGCUUCUAGCCGCACGAGAUUGAGCAAUAACAGGUCUGUGAUGCCCUUAGAUGUUCUGGGCCGCACGCGCGCUACACUGAAGGAAUCAGCGUGUCCUCCCUGGCCGAGUGGCCCGGUA
RNAcentral lists this ribosomal RNA (1452 nucleotides) under Deporaus nidificus. RNAcentral's name for it is "SSU rRNA". It matches the Rfam family "Eukaryotic small subunit ribosomal RNA", at positions 182 to 1547 of the family's 1831-position model. The record is from RNAcentral. Lineage: Eukaryota; Metazoa; Arthropoda; Insecta; Coleoptera; Attelabidae.